UGUCGGUAAAACUCGUGCCAGCCACCGCGGUUAUACGAGUGACACAAACUAAUAUUCCACGGCGUUAAGGGUGAUUAAAAUAAAUCUUUUUAAAAAUAAAGUUAAGACAACAUCAAACUGUCAUACGUUCCCAUGUUUAAAAACACCACCUACGAAAGUAACUUUAUACAAAAAAGAGUUCUUGAUUUCACGAUAGUUAAGACCCAAACUGGGAUUAGAUACCCCACUAUGA
RNAcentral lists this ribosomal RNA (232 nucleotides) under Brevitrygon walga (dwarf whipray). RNAcentral's name for it is "partial 12S ribosomal RNA". The record is from RNAcentral. Lineage: Eukaryota; Metazoa; Chordata; Chondrichthyes; Myliobatiformes; Dasyatidae.